Molecule: ribosomal RNA, 253 nt
Filed under: uncultured bacterium
Lineage: Bacteria
Description: partial 16S ribosomal RNA
Rfam family: Bacterial small subunit ribosomal RNA
Source: RNAcentral
UACGUAGGUGGCACGCGUUGUCCGGAUUUACUGGGCGUAAAGAGCGCGCAGGCGGUCGUCCAAGUCGCGUGUGAAAGCCCCCGGCUCAACUGGGGAGGGUCACGCGAUACUGGUCGACUCGAAGGCAGGAGAGGGUAGUGGAAUUCCCGGUGUAGUGGUGAAAUGCGUAGAUAUCGGGAGGAACACCAGUGGCGAAGGCGACUACCUGGCCUGUUCUUGACGCUGAGGCGCGAAAGCUAGGGGAGCAAACGGG